This 105-nucleotide transfer RNA is filed under the name Salmo salar (Atlantic salmon). It matches the Rfam family "tRNA". Rfam says of the family: Transfer RNA (tRNA) molecules are approximately 80 nucleotides in length. Lineage: Eukaryota; Metazoa; Chordata; Actinopteri; Salmoniformes; Salmonidae. The record is from Rfam by way of RNAcentral.
AUCCCUGUAGCUCAGUUGGUAGAGCAUGGUGUUUGCAAUGCAUGGUGUUUGCAACGCAUGGUGUUUGCAACGCCAGGGUUGUGGGUUCGAUUCCCACGGGGGGCC